UACGGAGGGUGCAAGCGUUAAUCGGAAUUACUGGGCGUAAAGCGCGCGUAGGCGGAAGCCUAAGUCAGGAGUGAAAUCCCUCUGCUUAACGGAGGAAUAGCUUUUGAUACUGGGUUUCUUGAGUUCAGGAGAGGGUGGCGGAAUUCCAGGUGUAGGAGUGAAAUCCGUAGAGAUCUGGAGGAACAUCAGUGGCGAAGGCGGCCACCUGGACUGAUACUGACGCUGAGGUGCGAAAGCGUGGGGAGCAAACAGG
RNAcentral lists this ribosomal RNA (253 nucleotides) under uncultured prokaryote. Its description in RNAcentral is "partial 16S ribosomal RNA". It matches the Rfam family "Bacterial small subunit ribosomal RNA", at positions 524 to 776 of the family's 1533-position model. The record is from RNAcentral.